UACGUAGGGUGCGAGCGUUAAUCGGAAUUACUGGGCGUAAAGCGUGCGCAGGCGGUUCGUUGUGUCGGCGGUGAAAUCCCCGGGCUCAACCUGGGAAUGGCCGUUGAAACUGGCGAACUGGAGUGUGGCAGAGGGGGGUGGAAUUCCGCGUGUAGCAGUGAAAUGCGCAGAUAUCGGGAGGAACACCGGUGGCGAAGGCGGUUCUCUGGGCCUUACCUGACGCUGAGGAGCGAAAGCGUGGGGAGCGAACAGG
Molecule: ribosomal RNA, 253 nt
Filed under: uncultured bacterium
Lineage: Bacteria
Description: partial 16S ribosomal RNA
Rfam family: Bacterial small subunit ribosomal RNA
Source: RNAcentral